Molecule: ribosomal RNA, 257 nt
Filed under: uncultured bacterium
Lineage: Bacteria
Description: partial small subunit ribosomal RNA
Rfam family: Bacterial small subunit ribosomal RNA
Source: RNAcentral
AGGACGAACGCUGGCGGCGUGCUUAACACAUGCAAGUCGAGCGGAAAGGCCCUUCGGGGUACUCGAGCGGCGAACGGGUGAGUAACACGUGAGCAACCUGCCCUUAGCUUCGGGAUAGCUCCGGGAAACCGGAAUUAAUACCGAAUAUGACUUUGGCUGACAUCAGCAGAAGUGGAAAGUUUUUCGGCUAGGGAUGGACUCGCGGCCUAUCAGCUAGUUGGUGAGGUAACGGCCCACCAAGGCGACGACGGGUAGCC